GCUCUUUUUUCCAUACUAUGACAAAUACAAAACAGAGUCUCUUGUAAUUUCUCUGUGUAUUGUGCAUGUUUGACUAUGUGGCUUAAGCAUUGAGAUUAUUGCUGCAUCCACAUGGCUUAUGGUAUGAGACCCUGCCCUUUUUACCCAUAAGUAAUAGCAUGUGCUGUGAUUGAUACCUGAAGUUCACAUGAAGAGCUGAGUAUUCAAUUGGUUUAGUUCCAAACCCAACCAAACUAACCAGAAAACCAAAUUCAUUAAAUUGAGAAACCAAACCAAAAUUUUUGGGUUCGGUUUGUCGGUUUGGGUUUGGGCCUGUUUUAUUGGGCCUUUCUAAUGUCUAUAUUCUUCUUAAGCAGUCUAUCAAACACAGUAGAAAUUAAAAAUAUGCAGUAUAAAUUAAGCAAGAGCCUAUAAUUAAGUAAUUAACGAGGCAGAAAUUUGUACAAGUAAAUGAAAAAAAAAAAAUCUGAAAUUUUUUAAAAAGUACCAGCCACGCUAAUCCAAG
RNAcentral lists this unclassified non-coding RNA (505 nucleotides) under Hevea brasiliensis (rubber tree). The record is from RNAcentral. Lineage: Eukaryota; Viridiplantae; Streptophyta; Magnoliopsida; Malpighiales; Euphorbiaceae.